AGCUCCAAUAGCGUAUAUUAAAGUUGUUGCAGUUAAAAAGCUCGUAGUUGGAUUUCGGAACCGGCCGAUUGGUCCGCCCUCUGGGUUGUGUACUGAUCGGUCUGUUCUUCUUCGCGAAGACCGCGUGUGCCCUUAACUGGGUGUGCGCGGGAUUCGCGACGUUUACUUUGAAAAAAUUAGAGUGUUCAAAGCAGGCAUUCGCUUGAAUAUCUCAGCAUGGAAUAAUAGAAUAGGACUUUGGUCUUAUUUUGUUGGUUUCCGAGACCGAAGUAAUGAUUAAUAGGGACAGUUGGGAGUAUUCGUAUUUCGUUGUCAGAGGUGAAAUUCUUGGAUUUCCGAAAGACGAACUACUGCGAAAGCAUUUACCAAGGAUGUUUUCA
RNAcentral lists this ribosomal RNA (380 nucleotides) under marine Metazoa environmental sample. RNAcentral describes it as "SSU rRNA". It matches the Rfam family "Eukaryotic small subunit ribosomal RNA", at positions 587 to 972 of the family's 1831-position model. Lineage: Eukaryota; Metazoa. The record is from RNAcentral.